GCGCCUCCAGGUGUUUCCCUCCUUCCCGGCGCUUGCUGCGCGCUGCCGGCCCGCGCCCGCCCCCUGCCCCGGGCACCCGCGCUGGGGAGCGGCCCGUGGCCCCGCAACGCAACUGGCGGGUGGGCGCUAAGCGGGACCCGGCCGCUGCCUUCUCCGCAGGCAGCCGAGCUCCAGCUGCCACCUCCCCGGGCAGCUCUCGGCGCGCCGCGGGGGGGCGGAGGUGAAAGGCGAUUGCAAAGCGGCGGGCCUGGGCGGGGGGCUGGUGCGUUUCCCUGGCCUCAGAGCUCUGAUGGCUUCGGGAUGCAGGCUAAUAACGCCCGACAGACCGCCUGGCCCCUAGAAGAUGGGGUAGCCAAGCGAUGGGCUUCUGGAGUCGCGUCUCUUUUGAUAUAGCCCCCCCCCGCCGUCACCUCCGCCUUCACACACGUGGCCUCUCCAUUGUUCUGAAAUAUUUCUGAUUCCCAGGUUGGGCCGGGAAAUUGGUUUGAACGGAUCUUGCCCUGACUUGACUGAUUCUAGUACAAAGUACAAAGUUUAUCUCCAUGGAUAUUCUUGAACCGAGCAGCAGGAAAACUUUCUUCACCAGGACAGAUCCAGCCUCAGGCAUAAUCCUUGCGGGGGUGCGGAGGACGAUUCCCCCUUACAAAACACCUGGAUCCUGCUACGCUUAGGGACAAGUGAGGAGAAAACACCUGGAUCCAGAAACCAUCUCCCGAGAAGAAGUGUCCACCAUGUCAAGCGCAGACUGGAGGAAUGUCUUGGCUACAAUGCGACCUUCCAUCAGGAAAGUCUUGAACUCAUCCUCUGCAUCUUCUGGAAGUUUCAGUAAAUUUGGACAUUGCAUCCCAGUUUACAAAAUCAUAUUUGGCUAACAGGGCCUGCUGGUUAGCUAUAUGCAUCUGGAAAGAGAAGGUGGAAUGAAUCUUUCUCCCAAACAGAUCAAAUCUCUUGGGCUCUUUUUCUUUGGGGGCUGAUUUAAAUCUCCCUUGAUGUGACCUUUCCUUAGCAACAGUAACCACCAGGGAGUUAGGGGCAGGAUGGGAAUAAAAUAGGACAAGAAGCAAUGGACUUAAACCGCCCUUGCUGCAAUUUAGGUUGGACAUUAGGAAAAACUUCCUAACUGUGAGGAUGGUUAAGCACUGGAAUAAAUUGCCUAGAGAGGUUGUGGAAUCUCUGUCAUUGGAGAUUUUUAAGAGCAGGUUAGACAAACACCUGUCAGGGAUGGUCUAGAUAAUACUUAGUACUGCCAUGAGUGCAGGGGACUGAACUAGAUGACUUCUCGAGUUCCCUUCCAGUUCUAUGAUGCUAUCAUUCUAUGAAAAGCACUAAACUCUCUACUUUGGCACAUAACAUUUGUCUGUGCACUUAGCUGGAGGAGCUAAGGAGGCUGGCAUGUGCCUUAAAGUAGCACUGAAAAAGUGCCUCUGACAGCUCUAGAAGAGCAUAAUUAAUUGAGAAUUAAUUAUCCUGGGGUAACUGCCUGCAGACUGCCAAAUGUUUGUCAGUAUUCUCUCUAGCAAGCUCAACUUGUAUGCCUAACGCCACUACCAUUCUCCUCAGCAGGUCUUGAGAAGACAAAGUUCUCUAGGACUGGAGAAGACGACUCUGGUAUCAGUGAGUUGUCAAGCGAGGAGGAGGACACAUGAACUGGAGCUAUAGGAUCCUCCUGAUGGGGAACUAGCUCCUCCCACAACUGGCCCUUUUGAAGCAUUGGCUGCUCAAGAGGAACAGUAUCUCCAUGUGUUUCCAAUGUAAGAUGCUCUAAAAGCUGUUUUGCUGGCAGUCUGAUGACCUUCCAUUCAACUGAGUCUGUGAGUGGUGCCUGGGGGAAAUUGAGAAACAGUCCAGGGAUUCCAAAAAGGCCAUUGGGGAAGAGCAUAAGGCCUGGGCAGCCGGUAAGUACUAGGACACAAUGAUCUGUCUCUACCAUCUGGUUGGCUCCAGUCUUGGUACCAGUGCUCUCCCUCUGGAGGUGGCCUAGAGGAGUUGCUAGACCAUCUGUGCUUAAGAGGGGACAGUGAAGUACUGGAGAACUCUGAACAAGAUUGCAAAAAAUCAUCCAAACAGUCAGUGGGCAUCAGAGGUGCCAAGGCUGAUGGGGCCAUUGGGUGACCGAACUUAUCCAUAGCGCAUUGAACAGACACUGAGGUCAGUACAAAGUUGUUGGUACUACAGAGACAUUGAUGGUCAGUCGUCAUACAUCCAUGUUGGGAAAACCCUCAGUCGGUGCUGAAGAACAGCCCAUAGACAGGAUGCCUUCCAAUGAACGUCAUAAUACAGAAGCUGCAGGGGCCAAAAGAAGUAAUACAACUGAUACCGAGGCUGGGGACUCAGCUGAAGUUGGCAUGGUGUACACUGGUGCUGAGGGUGGUACUGGGGCCAAAUCGCUCCAGGUGGUACUGGGGCCAAAUUUCUUAGUCGGUUCUGGGCAUUGUUACCACUAACAGUCCCUGAGCAGAAGCCCAGGACUGCAACAGGCCUGGACCAGUGGGAGGCAUCAUCAGCAAAAUGGAGUCCUGCACCACAGGAGAGGACUGAAAGGCACAGCAAAUCCUUUGCUACCUCAAAAACUUGCAGGAUCGUAAGUACUGAUAAAGCUGGUGCAGAGAUAGUGUCCACUGGUACCAGACUCAAUGGCCAUCCUGCAGACAGUACUGGAGUUGACAGUACAGUACUGGUAUUUUUCAUCACAGUACAGGGGUAAUAUGGGUUGAUGACCCAGCUCUACCAUGAGUACCUGAAGAGUCCUGAUGCUGUUUCACAUCCCUUCUUGAAGAAGAAGAGUCCUUCUUCAGCUUUGAAUGGCUCUGGUCUGUUUUGUAGGUCCUUUUUCUAGGAGGUCCCAGAGAGGAAGAUUGACCCCUCUUUCUCUGUGGAGAACAGUCUGAAUCUGGGGUCUGUCAGACACAACAGGAGCCACUAUAACGUACUGAGCAUAGGAGACAGGGCACUUGCCAUAAGGUCCUGGGUCUGAGUUGGGCCUCAUUGCCUGCUCCACGAGGUACUACUUUGAGACGAAGCUCUCUGGUAAUCUGCGUUCUUUUCUGGACAGAAUGGUAGAUGCUGCAUUUCUCCUUGAUGUGCCCCUUGCUGAGGAACAAAAGGCAGGGAACCUCUGAGUCACUCUCAAAUGUAGGAGGGAAGGGAGGAUGCCAAAAGCUGUGAGCCUGUCUGCAGAAUCUGAGGGCCAAGUGACAGAGGCCCAGGGAUGACUUGCUGUUGGAGAUGCAGAAUGACUGCUCUGUCAGACUAGCACUAUGAAAUGAAGCUCAGGAACUGGCAAGUGGACCUAGAGCAAGCUGCAAAGCAAAGGGAGGACCUGGCAUUGAAGAAGCAAUCCAAAGAUGAAAGGGAUAUGAUGGUGGAGUAUCUUUGGUAUGACUGGGAGAUGAGGGAGUGAGACAUGACAUUUCAGAGGGACAUCUCAGAGAUGUUUAGGGAUCACGAGUCAGUUGGCCUCAAGUUCUGCUGCCUAAACCCCCAGACCACCUAUGCCCAGCCCUAUGGACAACUCUAGCUGGAGGGGUGGGGUGGGGGUAGGGAGGAAAUCAGUCAGUAAGCUAUGGGAACAUGCUCCAUCAGCAGUAUCUGCUGCACUGCAUCCCUAUUCCAAUAUGGGAAAAGGGACAGAUAUCCCAAUGACAUAUUACGCUGCCUAUCAACAUUUCAGUUUAUUUUGCUCUUUGAUGUUUAGAAUGUUUUGUACUGUGAUAUCUUUGCAGGUAAUUGUUGCUGGUUUCGAUUUGGCUGGUUCUGUUUUGCACACCUUUUCAAUACUGUAAUGGCAGUUGAGCUGCCCAAAUAUGUUUACCUUCUAUAAAGCUUUAUCUGGUCCCAUACUGAGGUCUGGAAUUACAAUGGCUAACAGUACACAACCAGAAAUGACAAGUCCACUACAUUUAUUUCAUACAAGACUACAUUUAAUUUCACCCUCCGGUGCAAGGUGUGGCAUUAAUCCCCGUUAGCUCCAUGGACAUACAAAGCACCCGGUAGCACCUUUGCUGUAAUGGACCCUCCAUCAGCACAAGGUGGAUGUCUGUAAGCAUCCCAUUGUCCCAAAAUAUUCCUCCUUAUCCCCACAUAUAUGGUAAAGCACAUCAUAAUCACAUGGCAUGAUACAUGCUACCGUCCAAACAAAUCUUAAGCAGCACCACCAUCCUGCUCUUGCUCAGUGUGUAGUUAUAUUGUCUUCUGCCAGGCUGGUAGAAAUCAGGAGAAGUCAUCACCACCUAUGGCAACAGAGGGUAGGCUGGAUUGUCUAAAAAUCACAGUUGGCAUGGACAACCACUUGAUGCCUGUCACGAGGAUGGAAUAAAACUUGCCUGCUGAAAUAGCUCAGACCUCUGAAAUACCCUGGCAUCAUGCACUCAUCAAAUGUAGGUGUCCACAGAUCUACCAUGGUGAACCACUAGGGUUGCAAAAUGGAAUAGCAAUAUCCUUUCCAGAUAAUGUACUCACUUCAAUUAAACUCCACAAUUAUUUUGGAGAUACUUCCUAAUUCAAUCUCUCUGGAUUGCAGUAAAGCAAUAAUUGCCUUACAAAUCUCCAUGACCACUGUGAUAACUUCGGAUUUGCCAACCCUGAACAGAUUAUCACAGAUGUGUAACAAUCUAGGGUUGCCAGUUUUCACAAGGUGAUAGCAACAUAUUUUUGGACAGUUACUCCCUUUCAACUGGAAGUUAUGGUGGCACUCAAGGAGUGAGCUUCUCACACUACUCCACGAACAUUACUUCCUUCAUAAAAAAAGUUUUGGGCCAACUGCUGGUCACCCCACAUUUCCAUUAUGAUAUAGCCCCACCACUCUACACUUGUGGUACUGGUCCAGAAGUGGCAGUCUGAAUAGGGAAGAGUCUGCCAUGAAAGACAGCAUCAGCUGGGUCCAUGCCUCCAUCUCUGUGUGGCACUGACCUUUUGUCUUGCUUCUAACUGCAAACCACCACUGUCUUCUUGGGGUAAAAAGCCACCUCUGAAACACGUGCCACCAUCUCAGUGGCUGAAGCAUACUAUAAGUAAGAUGGCCAUCAGCAGCAGCUGCUGGUUCUGUUCUGAGGGCAAGCAAGAUUCAUACUUUACAAUACACCUGCGUGUGUCCUGCCACAACAUGAAUUUCUCAGGUUUAUAGUUUCUGCCCACAAUCCCCAGUGGGCAGAAAAAGUGUUCCUCAGCACAAGGUUAUGAUACUAUGAACAAUGUAACGUGCACCCAGAAAUUUCUGAGUUUCUCAUGACUGGAUAUGUGGUAUGACAAUAAGUGUGAAGAACUCAACUGCUGUUCUGCAGCAGGGGUCACACUCUAAUGAGCUAGACAAAAGUGAGAUGACUAACUUGUGAUUGCCUAACUCUGUCUUCACUGCAGCAUGAAGUUGAGAGACACAAUGAGGUUUUAAUGCAAGUUGGCUGGUUGGUGCAGAUAGGGCUAACAAAUAAACUCGUUCUUUGAGAUAAAAGCACUAGAAAGCAUGACUAAUAAGGUUGUCCUGGUUCUACUGGCCAGUACAAGUGCAUUAGAAUUCCAUGUGGCUGUAAGAGAUUUUUAACAAGUGUGCACAAACACUGAUUUCUUUAAUAGAUGGGGCCUGUAAUGAAAGAUGUCAAUAUAGUUAAGAGCAUUUGCUUCUCUUAGUUAACAGUGCCUAAAAGCAGUAGCAGGGACAGGCCUGAGACUUGGUGAGUGGAAGAGACAUUUUAGUGCCUGGUAUAGAGAGAGCAGAAAAACUCCAACUGUCUCUUUUUGUCUGAAUACUGUAUGAUCUUUAAUGAGACAAGCCUAUUGCAACUUGGCUUAACAGACCUCAAAACAGGACUCAUGACUUCUCAACUCUGAGAUUGUCAACGCUCCUAAGGACUGGACUUUCAUGCUUAACAGAUGCAAGAAUAUUUCUUUAUUUUUGGAAGGCGGAUAAUGACACUUCUAAGGGCUACAUCCUUGCAUUAAGAGCACGAUAUUGGUUCUUACAUAAGAAAGCUCCAAACUUCAAAAAAGUCAUCUGAUUGAAGAUAGUAGCUAGCAGGAGGCCCUUUCAGGAACAGGAAAUGUAACAGCAGCUCCUGCAGGGGCUCAGUCCAGGUAGCGCUGUAAGGAGCAGAAUGAGUGUCCAAACUUAUGCUCUAUGACCUUGAGAGACUGGAAAAAAGGGUGUUGUCCUAAGAAAACAUUUAAUGUUGGGAUUUGUGCAAAACAUUUUUCUUGAACCUACGGACAUUAUUAUACUACAAGAACUAGACCUUUUGCUCAUACUUAUACACCUGCUUAAAACCCUCUUGCAAGAACUCAGGGCUGCGUUUCACUUGGUUAAAUUAUGGACUUUGCUCCAGCCAAAAGACUAAGUUCUAUUUGUUGAUUUCUCUUAGGGUCCAUGAACUUUAUCCAAGCAUCCAUUCUGAACCUGCCUGAUUCCAGGUGGAGGAUUAGGUUUUGCAGUAGCAGAUGUCCUCUGAGACAGACACAUCAGAUGGUUCAAUGCUAUGUUAGGCCAGAAAGCCACAGCUUCUUUAGCUAAAAAGGCAUAAAUAGUAUCACUGCUGCUUCUCCUUCCUAUCUGUUGUAUGGUUCUAGGGAAAUGGAAAACGGGGGGGAGGGAUAGCUCAGUGGUUUGAGCAUUGGCCUGCUAAACCCAGGGUUGUUAGUUCAAUCCUUGAGGGGGCCAUUUGGGAUCUGGGGCAAAAAUUGGGGAUUGGUCCUGCUUUGAGCAAGGGGUUGGAUUAGGUGAUCUCCUGAGGCCUCUUCCAACCCUGAUAUUCUAUGAUUCUAUGAAAAGGUAGGAAGAUAUACAGCACAGACAUUGCCAAGCUUUGAAAGAGGUUGUUCACCACCUCACAUUCUGAAUCUAGUACAUGGAGAGGCCACAAAGCAGGUGACUGCUUUCUAGAUGCAAAAAAUGUCUAUCACCACCACAUUGACUUACACUGAAUGAAAAUAUUUCUGGAUGCACAUUCUAUGCUAAGAUGAGCGGGGGGAAGUGGGGUGGAGAGAAGAACUUCUGACAUGUAAGCCUUGGCAUCCAUCUCCCCCUUGAUGGGCAGUACACAUACAGAGGGGAAACUCUGCUCUGCCCAGGACUAGAGAAAUUGAUUUUCAUUCUUGGAUCAGGUGAUCAUGUUGUUCUUAUUUCAGGAAAACAGCUGUCAAACACACUGAUGGCUAGAACCAAAACAAGUCUGGUAUCUAGAGAAGGAAAGAUGCAAUGAUUCACUGGUUCCUGCAGGUGGUGUGCCUGUAUCUGGAAUCUAUUCCUUGGAUUGAAUUAAGAGAUGAAUGAAUCUCUCCAUUAAACCCAGCUGGCAUCAGAGCUAGGAUCACUCUGCCUAAUUCAAGAAUAGUGGUGCUCUCUUAAAACAAAACCCUGCUUCUGCAUUCAGUUGGCAGAGUAGUGGAUACACAAUGGGACCCUGAUCAAUGUCAAUGGAUGUGAUAAAGAGGUGGAGGGGAUAAUCUGAAUUAUGGGAUAGGUCUCAUAUGACUUCUGGAUCAUUAAAAGCACACAUGGGAUUGAACAGGCAUACACAGCCACAGGCAUUACCACAUGGCUAUGGCUUGGUCUCUUCUGCACUGAUCUACCAUACUGUACACUUUGAAAGUGAGCAGGGGAACGAGUUGCUGAUUUUAUUUAAAGGGAGCAAAACCAGUCCCAGAGAUUGCUUCAAUAGUAUUUCAAGUGGUUAACUAUCUCCCUCUCCUCAAAGUGGUCAGAUUUAUUGUCCCUUCCUCCCCCACAUGAGCCUCUUCUAAAUCCCUGGGCUUUCAAGGCAGGUACUGGUGUCCAGGGGUUUGAGGAUGGACAGCUCAGCUCUACCCCUUCUACUGAAUGAGAUCCAGAUGGGCCUGCAAUAUCAAUAGAGAUCCUUUAAAAAAGCUUGUUGUAGAGAUGGUGGCAGUCGGAAAGAGCUGGAUCCAAUGACUCCUUACUGCCAUCAGCAGUAUCUGUGCUGAGUCCACUAUCCUCCACCAUCUACACUGAGGGGAGUGAGAAGAUGUGACUGAGCUCAACAGUCAAAAAGAGGGUUGGUGGUAUGAACUCCAAGGACUUAACAGCAAUCUUCCAUCUAGCAAGCUGUCCUUCUAGCAUCAAGAUGGGAGUGGGAACUGCUUGCCCCAGUUUUUCCAAUCCUGCCCAGGAGAGGGGGGGGCUAAAGCAACCCUGCUUAGACUGGCUGAGAGAGACAGAGACUGCACCCUGCCCAUAAAGCCAGUCAAGCUCCACAAUGAGACACUAUAAGCAAGUGAAGCAAGAACAGACCCUUCCAUUUGCCUCUGGCUUUUCUCAGCCUUGCUCAGUCUCUGAAAAUGUACCAAACACUGCAAAUGCUUAAGAUGGAGAAAAAACUGAGGGGACAAUCUCCCUAAAAUGCAAAUGAAGCCCUAGAACAGAGACAGGAAUCAGAUAGCCAAUCUGCUGAGCCAAAACAUUAGUCAGAAAUUUUAAACGAAGUUGGGAAUUUUCCCUCAGAAAAUCUCUGCAGCAGGGAGGUCUGGCUGUGCCAUCUGCCACCAUGGGUGCACAUAACGGGCAGAACUUCAGGGAGCAGGGCAUUCGCCAGCUACCAGUGACUGACAGGCCCAGUUCUGCACCCAAGCUGAAAUACAGAUGGUAAUAAAUUGGUAUGAUGAAUAAAGUUCCCUGAAACAAAUGAAGAUAAUCAGUAUAAAAUUUGGCUCAUUCCUCCCAGUCACAAUACAUUUGAACAAAAGGUACAGGUUCCCUAACAGCGGUCCUUUCAGUAAGUGGACAGGCAGGAUGAUUUAGUCAUCAGAGCUGAAUCUUCUCCAAAGGAUAGUUCUAGCAUUCUAAAGUUAAUGCCCACAUUUUAUCUGUUGUGACACCCAGUCAAUUCACAGGUAAUUGGUAUUAGGAAAAAACAGCACAAGCAAAGACAGGACCGAUGUAGUAAAAGCCUUCUGUGCCAUGCCUCCAGCUAAAUUUUAAGAGCUCAACCAUGUUAGGUGUUCAAGAUCCUGUUUGGGCACUCGGGGGAAAAGAUAAAGGGGCAGGGGGGAAAUGGUUUAUGAAUUCCUGCUCACUACAGGCUCUAUGAAACUGUUAAUUAAAAAUCAGAUCCUGAAUUGCUGGAAAUUGAGGCAUAUAAGGAUUACAAAAGUCAAUAGACCCGAUCCAAACCAAUGGAGCAGGAAGGAUGUGUGGGUAAUACAUAUAUAUUUUCUUUUUUCAAAAGUCACUAGGACUGUAAAAUUAUUUAUAAAUUAUUUAAAUAUAUAAUAAGUUUUGCAAAUAAACUGAAUACCAAAGAAAAUUUUUCAGUCCCUGUGGUGACUCCCAACUCCACACAAGGGAAAUGGAAACCUACAGUACAUUGUACACUGGGGAGAAAAGGUAGAAAGUUACAUUUUUGCUACAUGCUCUAAGGGAGUUUGAAUAUUCAACAGUGUCCAAAAAAUCUUGUUUAAAGCAAUGAGACCAAUCUGCAUUUUUAAAGCUAUAGUCACUUCACAUCAUGCCUAUCAGACCAUAUAAUGAAUACAAAUGUCAAAAAUCAAUUUUACACAGCACAGAAUGAAAAUUAAAUUCUCCAGAGCCCCAUUCUGCUUUCAACUGUUAAACUCAAAAUACAUCAUUAAAAAGACACACAAACUAAUGCUAGCACGUGAAAAUAUUUCCUUGAAUAUGUUAGUCUUUAUUCAACUUUUUAGCUAUGACUCUUCCAUUCAGAAGCUGGAGAGAAUCUUUCCAUUAGUUUGUCUCACUGGUUAAUUCUGGAUAAAAAGAUUUUGCAGAAUUUGACAUUAAUUUAAUUUUUCAUUUAUAUUCGGUUAUUCAAAGUUUACAUAACCUUUUCAAAGUUGUACCUUACAAUGUAUGGAACUUAAGAUUAAAAUAAAACUCUACUUUUAACAUAACAUUUUCUAUAAUGUAAAAAUAUUCUACGUAUGUUUAACACAUCAAGAAUGUUAGGCAUUUAUUUUGUUGAGGGAAAACUAUUUUAUGCAUGUUUCAGUAUAAAAAACAACUAAUUGUUUAGUAUCAAUGUGUCCAUUAAAUUGGGUGCCACACAGUGUUUAAUUUCCGCAAUUACAGUAUAAUACUGCAUUUACAAAUACAGAAUAACUAUUCAAACAUACGUAACAGUUUUAAACAACUGCAAAUUUGAGAUGCUGCUUACUUUUUCUCCCAUUGUGGCAACUUUACAUCUUUGAAAGAAUGAGUGCUUAAUUAUCAAAACUAUUAUAAAAAUAGCAGCAUUCUACUAAAACAUGAAAAGCAGACCCAUGCAUUAGGAGUUUGAAUGCAGAUUUCUGCCUUCCUUUUAGAUUAUCAAAAUCUUUUCAAGUUAACUUCAAGGCAAGGGGUAUACAGAAAGACACUGCAUAGUAUGAUUGGACACUAAUCUGAACUGGGUAUUUAAUCAAAAUCCAUGAUAAUUACAGGGUAAACAAUUUUAUUUCAAAAUACAAGUUUAACUGGAAAUGUAAUGAUGAAAGCGUAAGAGGCAAAAAUGCAGACUUUUACAGCAGAUAUUACUCUGUCUCACUUCCAUCCAGAUGUAAGAGCUCUAAUUUGUGAAAAGACAAAAUAGUUGUGGCAUUUCAUUUAGCCUUUAAGAUAAUCCAGCAUUAUGUUUCUAAAGAAAUAUAAAUACUUUAAAACAAACACUGAAAAUAAAUUCUCAUUUGAUGUAAUAAGCUACACUCAUUAUUGAUGUUUCAGUCUUCUUAAAAGAAAGGGAUUUUACCCAAUAUAUCAAUGUAGAAUAAU
Chelonia mydas (Green sea turtle) is the source of this 10708-nucleotide long non-coding RNA. RefSeq lists it as uncharacterized. The transcript is spliced from 3 exons. The record is from RefSeq and is a predicted model, not a curated record. Lineage: Eukaryota; Metazoa; Chordata; Testudines; Cheloniidae.